CCCUUAGAUGUUCUGGGCCGCACGCGCGCUACACUGACGGAGUCAACGAGUUGUCCUGCAUCGGAAGGUGUGGGUAAUCUUUUGAAACUUCGUCGUGCUGGGGAUAGAUCUUUGCAAUUUUCGAUCUUGAACGAGGAAUUCCUAGUAAGCGUGAUUCAUCAGAUCGCGUUGAUUACGUCCCUGCCCUUUGUGCACACCGCCCGUCGCUACUACCGAUUGAAUGGUUUAGUGAGGCCUCGGGACUGGCGCGCUCGAGUAGCAAUACACCUGCGCGCCGGGAACUUGGUCAAACUUGAUCAUUUAGAGGAAGUAAAANUCGUANCA
This 324-nucleotide ribosomal RNA is filed under the name uncultured eukaryote. RNAcentral's name for it is "partial 18S ribosomal RNA". It matches the Rfam family "Eukaryotic small subunit ribosomal RNA", at positions 1470 to 1796 of the family's 1831-position model. The record is from RNAcentral.